AAGGAAAUAAGGUUUUUUAGAAGAUUCUGAAACUUGAUGAAUUAGCCUACAAAUCCCUUUGCGCAGCAUCUUGCUUCAGAAGACGUGUAUGUAUGUUUAGCGAUCAACGUUAGUAAUAAUUUGUAUAUUUUAGGACUGCUGUCAGUAAACGUUAGUAAUCGAAAACGAAUAUAAUUCUUUAAUUCAUUGAGAAUACAGCAGGGAAACCAGCAAGUGGAGAAUACAGUGACACAGACGGUGCCUUGACGUACGUUAGUGGUGUAUGUAUAUCGAAAACUAAGCUUGGUUUUGGAUAAUUGCUUUCUUCAUGAUUAAUAUGAUUAAUUUAAUAUCUUAGUAAAAAUUCCUAAUCAGUAGUUUAAGUCGUUUAUUGGUUAAAAAUAGAAUGGUAGAAUAAGACAAGUGAUACACUAGGAGCUGAUAUUUAGUAUACGCAUAGACCCAAAUUAAUUCAAAUGCUAGUAUUUUUUGACUGUAUAAUAGUUUCUUCA
This is a non-coding RNA of Schizosaccharomyces pombe (fission yeast), 491 nucleotides long. NCBI's taxonomy places the organism in Eukaryota, Fungi, Ascomycota, Schizosaccharomycetes, Schizosaccharomycetales, Schizosaccharomycetaceae. The record is from the annotation of a GenBank genome assembly.